This 497-nucleotide ribosomal RNA is filed under the name uncultured bacterium. RNAcentral's name for it is "partial 16S ribosomal RNA". It matches the Rfam family "Bacterial small subunit ribosomal RNA", at positions 28 to 507 of the family's 1533-position model. The record is from RNAcentral.
GAUGAACGCUGGCGGCGUGCCUAAUACAUGCAAGUCGAGCGAACGGACGAGAAGCUUGCUUCUCUGAUGUUAGCGGCGGACGGGUGAGUAACACGUGGAUAACCUACCUAUAAGACUGGGAUAACUUCGGGAAACCGGAGCUAAUACCGGAUAAUAUUUUGAACCGCAUGGUUCAAAAGUAAAAGACGGUCUUGCUGUCACUUAUAGGUGGAUCCGCGCUGCAUUAGCUAGUUGGUAAGGUAACGGCUUACCAAGGCAACGAUGCAUAGCCGACCUGAGAGGGUGAUCGGCCACACUGGAACUGAGACACGGUCCAGACUCCUACGGGAGGCAGCAGUAGGGAAUCUUCCGCAAUGGGCGAAAGCCUGACGGAGCAACGCCGCGUGAGUGAUGAAGGUCUUCGGAUCGUAAAACUCUGUUAUUAGGGAAGAACAUAUGUGUAAGUAACUGUGCACAUCUUGACGGUACCUAAUCAGAAAGCCACGGCUAACUACGUG